Molecule: long non-coding RNA, 463 nt
Organism: Magnolia sinica
Lineage: Eukaryota; Viridiplantae; Streptophyta; Magnoliopsida; Magnoliales; Magnoliaceae
Exons: 2
Source: RefSeq, a predicted model, not a curated record
UUCCAGUCAUUCAUAACAUGUUAUUGAAUAUAAUUUCUCAGAUAUAGUAGCAUGACCAAAAUAGUAAGACAAGCAGAAGGCACUGUGAUGGACAACCUGGUUGUAGUGCACCAGCAUGUCAGAUAGAUGUUCUACACCCCGGAACUUGAUGGGUUGGGGCUUAGGCUGUUGAGAGUAACGGUUGUGAGAAGCAUUCCAAGUUUUUGUUGGAUCAUCCAAGCCAAGUUGGCGAGCAACUCUCUCCACAACAUCAUCAUAGGUGAAAAGCUUUGACCUAGAUAUUUCAAUCACGUCAAUGGAGAAAAAUAAAAAAGUUAAUGGGCUGUCAGUACUAAGGAAUGGGGUGUAUUAAAAUUUUAAAAACAUCGUCAUAAAUUUAACAUCUGUUAGCAAUUCAAAAAGUCACACAUCACCUUUAAUGUUCGCAGAUCAGAAGGGGCUGAUUCAUUAAAAAAAAAAAGAA